UUUUCGGCGUCGAGACUGGAGGCUGAGUGCUAAACUGUGUGGGGCGCGGAUGGGAUCCAGCUGUUAGUCGGGUAGGCAUAGGAUUGGAUUCAGCAUCAAAAUACAUCUACUCAUAUUGAGAGCUGUCGACAGUUACGUCAACAGUAAGAAUAUAUUUUUCCUUUAUUAUAGAUAGCAUAUUUACAAAAUAGUUAAUGUUCAGAUGUGACUGUUAAAUACCUUUAGUAUAAUACUUUGGAGAAAAAUAUUUUUGGAAAGCUAUUGUCUUUUAAAAAUAUUAGUUUUCUGGAAGUAUAUUUAAUAUUUUUCCAAAAUGGUAGAAUUCAGUAUAUCCUUUGACACUUUUCUAACUUAAUUCCCAGUAGGUAAACUUUUUAUGUCAUUAGUUCAUUCUUUGCUGGCUUACCUUCCCCAGGAUCUUUUAUCUAUAUCAGAGCAGGUAUCCUUUCUUCUCCUAUCUCCACCUCUUCCCAUAGGACAAGUAACUGAAAAUCAGUGCAAACCAAACACCAGUAUUUAAUUUUGGACCUAAAGCUCUUCUCUGACUUAGAACCAGUUUUCAGAAUAUACCUUAAGUAAGGGAUGGACAAGCUAGAUGUCUUGCUUCCUUAACCUUGGCUCUUCAAUUCUUCCCCCUUUUUCUUCUUAAAGACAGGGCACCUGUGAAGUUUUCCCUACUGGCCAUAGAGGUGAAAAAGUGUGAUUUUAACACUAUGUUCCUGUAUCUCUUGGAGUAACAUCAAAUUAAACUCUGUCUUCCCUAGUACCAUUAAACAGUUCCUAGCCACUAGACUGAGAGUAACGUGUUAUUGGGCAAAUGGAUUUGAGAUUAUUAUUGAGAAUCCUUUUGGUUGUAAGUGGUUAAAGUUGCAGAUUAGUUGCUGGCUCAUGACUGUAAUCUGAGCACUUUGGAAGGCUGAGACAGGUAGGCUUGCUUGAGCUCAGGAGUUCAGCCUGGCCAACACAGCAAGAUCUUGUCUCUACC
Molecule: long non-coding RNA, 985 nt
Filed under: Homo sapiens (human)
Lineage: Eukaryota; Metazoa; Chordata; Mammalia; Primates; Hominidae
Description: HSALNT0033880
Source: RNAcentral